RNAcentral lists this ribosomal RNA (653 nucleotides) under uncultured Bacteroidales bacterium. Its description in RNAcentral is "bacterial SSU rRNA". It matches the Rfam family "Bacterial small subunit ribosomal RNA", at positions 84 to 732 of the family's 1533-position model. Lineage: Bacteria; Pseudomonadati; Bacteroidota; Bacteroidia; Bacteroidales. The record is from RNAcentral.
AUUGAUGGCGACCGGCGCACGGGUGAGUAACGCGUAUGCAACUUACCUAUCGGAGGGGGAUAGCCCGGCGAAAGUCGGAUUAAUACUCCAUAAAACAGGGGUUCCGCAUGGGACUAUUUGUUAAAGAUUCAUCGCUGAUAGAUAGGCAUGCGUUCCAUUAGGCAGCUGGCGGGGUAACGGCCCACCAAACCGACGAUGGAUAGGGGUUCUGAGAGGAAGGUCCCCCACAUUGGUACUGAGACACGGACCAAACUCCUACGGGAGGCAGCAGCGAGGAAUAUUGGUCAAUGGCCGAGAGGCUGAACCAGCCAAGUCGCGUGAAGGAUGAAGGAUCUAUGGUUUGUAAACUUCUUUUAUAGGGGAAUAAAGUGUGGGACGUGUCCUAUUUUGUAUGUACCCUAUGAAUAAGCAUCGGCUAACUCCGUGCCAGCAGCCGCGGUAAUACGGAGGAUGCGAGCGUUAUCCGGAUUUAUUGGGUUUAAAGGGUGCGUAGGUGGUAAUUUAAGUCAGCGGUGAAAGUUUGUGGCUCAACCAUAAAAUUGCCGUUGAAACUGGGUUACUUGAGUGUGUUUGAGGUAGGCGGAAUGCGUGGUGUAGCCGGUGAAAUGCACUAGAUAUCACGCAGAACUCCAAUUGCGAAGGCAGCUUACUAA